CAGGUGGUUUCUUAAGUCUGAUGUGAAAGCCCACGGCUCAACCGUGGAAGGUCAUUGGAAACUGGGGAACUUGAAUGCAGAAGAGGAGAGUGGAAUUCCAUGUGUAGCGGUGAAAUGCGUAGAUAUAUGGAGGAACACCAGUGGCGAAGGCGACUCUCUGGUCUGUUAUUGACACUGAGGCUCGAAAGCGUGGGGAGCAAACAGGAUUAGAUACCCUGGUAGUCCACGCCGUAAACGAUGAGUGCUAAGUGUUGGAGGGCUUCCNCCCUUCAGUGCUGCAGUUAACGCAUUAANCACUCCNCCUGGGGAGUACGGCCCCANGCUNAAACUCAAAGNAUUGGCGGGGACCCCCCACANCGGG
RNAcentral lists this ribosomal RNA (361 nucleotides) under uncultured bacterium. RNAcentral describes it as "bacterial SSU rRNA". It matches the Rfam family "Bacterial small subunit ribosomal RNA", at positions 572 to 933 of the family's 1533-position model. The record is from RNAcentral.